ACGCAGCCCGGCUUGAGUGGAGCUCUUUUUCUGUCAUUGCGAUUGACAAAAGCUCUAGAAAUUGCUUCACUUCGUUCGCAAUGACAGAAAAAAGCGGGAACGGAAGACGGAAAUAGC
Molecule: unclassified non-coding RNA, 117 nt
Filed under: Epilithonimonas hungarica
Lineage: Bacteria; Pseudomonadati; Bacteroidota; Flavobacteriia; Flavobacteriales; Weeksellaceae
Description: Chryseobacterium hungaricum Flavo-1 RNA
Source: RNAcentral